CCAAUAGCGUAUAUUAAAGUUGUUGCAGUUAAAAAGCUCGUAGUUGAACUUCGGGGUCUACCCAUUGGUCAGGCUUAAUUGUCUGCACUGGUGAGAUGGAUCUCUACCUUCUGAGGAACUUUCAUGCCAUUUAUUUGGUGUGGUUGGAAAUCAGGACUGUUACUUUGAAAAAAUUAGAGUGUUUAAAGCAGACUAUCGUCUGAAUACAUUAGCAUGGAAUAAUGAAAUAUGACGGACUGAUUCUAUUUCGUUGGUUUCUAGGAUCACCGUAAUGAUUAAUAUGGAUAGUUGGGAGCAUUAGUAUUCAAUUGUCAGAGGUGAAAUUCUUGGAUUUAUUGAAGACUAACUACUGCGAAAGCAUUUGCCAAGGAUAUUUUCAUUAAUCAAGAACGAAAGUUAGGGGAUCGAAGACGAUCAGAUACCGUCGUAGUCUUAACCAUAAACUAUGCCGACUAGGGAUCGGACGAAGUUAAUUUAUAAUGACGCGUUCGGCACCUUACG
RNAcentral lists this unclassified non-coding RNA (501 nucleotides) under uncultured Diversispora. Its description in RNAcentral is "SSU rRNA". It matches the Rfam family "Eukaryotic small subunit ribosomal RNA", at positions 591 to 1092 of the family's 1831-position model. Lineage: Eukaryota; Fungi; Glomeromycota; Glomeromycetes; Diversisporales; Diversisporaceae. The record is from RNAcentral.